UCCUGUUUCGUGGCUUUCAUCGUGGUAAUGGAGGAUCUAUGAUCCGUGAAAACAAAGAAUGACCAUUUGAAAAAAACACAUUGGAUUAUAUAAACUGUAUCCAGCAGAUUGUUACUCAAGAUGAGAAAGAGGAGGAAUGGAGCCAUCAUCCUUGCCAUGCUACAUUAGGAGAAUCAACACUGUGGCUCGGCCAGGCCAGGCGUGGCUACCCUGAGACAAGCACAGUUCCCGUUUUAUCUCCACUCAUGGGCUUCUGUGUACCGCUCUGUCGUGUCUGAUUGCUGCCAGAAUAAGAGCUCUGUGGGAAGACCUGUGGAAUGGAGUCUGCCAAGAAGAAUCGAACCAAGGCUUUAGUUCACGGGUUAGUCGACAUAACUGUGCCACAGUGGAACAAAACAACAGGCCUGUUCAUUUGGGUCAGUGUGGAGAUCUAGGAUGAAUUCUAGCAUACUAGGAAUCUGCUGUGGGCAAAAUACUGGGCUAUGACCCGUCAUUCUCUAAUCAGUGAAUGUAUCUGCUCUACCUUGUAUCAUAGGGAAAUUCAAAUGUUAAUACAAUUCAGACCUUAGUGUAAAUUACCAUAUUAUUUCUAAAAUGUAUUCUUUUGGCAGAUGUUUUAUUCAAGGUGACAUUGGUAUUCACAUUACAGCAUGACAAUAUGCUGAAUGU
This is a long non-coding RNA of Hypomesus transpacificus, 669 nucleotides long. RefSeq lists it as uncharacterized. Lineage: Eukaryota; Metazoa; Chordata; Actinopteri; Osmeriformes; Osmeridae. The transcript is spliced from 3 exons. The record is from RefSeq and is a predicted model, not a curated record.